GACGAACGCUGGCGGCGUGCCUAAUACAUGCAAGUCGAACGGUCUUUUCUAUGGAAGCUUGCUUCCGCUGAGAAGAUAGUGGCGAACGGGUGAGUAACACGUGGGUAACCUGCCCAUAAGAGGGGGAUAACAUCCGGAAACGGGUGCUAAUACCGCAUAGGUUUCUUGGUCGCAUGAUCGAGAAAGGAAGACGGCCUUUGUGCUGUCGCUUAUGGAUGGACCCGCGGCGUAUUAGUUAGUUGGUGAGGUAACGGCUCACCAAGACGAUGAUACGUAGCCGACCUGAGAGGGUGAUCGGCCACACUGGAACUGAGACACGGUCCAGACUCCUAC
Molecule: ribosomal RNA, 333 nt
Filed under: uncultured bacterium
Lineage: Bacteria
Description: bacterial SSU rRNA
Rfam family: Bacterial small subunit ribosomal RNA
Source: RNAcentral